This 325-nucleotide long non-coding RNA is filed under the name Prunus persica (peach). Its description in RNAcentral is "long non-coding RNA (PPER_LNC003189)". Lineage: Eukaryota; Viridiplantae; Streptophyta; Magnoliopsida; Rosales; Rosaceae. The record is from RNAcentral.
UUUAAUCAUCUUAUUUUGGUGAAAUCUACUAUGCUCUUUUGCACAAAAUCAGGUAUUUUGGGAGCUCAAGGUCCUUUUUCUGCAGCUACCCUAGUGAAGAAUUCCUAUUUUCAGUCAUCCCCCUUCCUUUCUUUUCUUCCCUCUUUCAUGGUCAGAUCUGAUGAAGGAAGGAAAUGGGUAUACAUGCUGGUUUCGAAGGAUGAUUCCCACUUUGCGCGCCAACAUCCCAUGGUUCGCUGGGUGUUUUGUGGUUGAAACUUGUUUCUUCCCAUGUGCUGGAGCCUCCAGCAGCUUUUCAGACUUUCCUUCGUGGCUUUGUUCUUCA